GACGAACGCUGGCGGCGUGCCUAAUACAUGCAAGUUGAGCGCUGAAGGUUGGUACUUGUACCAACUGGAUGAGCAGCGAACGGGUGAGUAACGCGUGUGGAAUCUGCCUUUGAGCGGGGGACAACAUUUGGAAACGAAUGCUAAUACCGCAUAAAAACUUUAAACACAAGUUUUAAGUUUGAAAGAUGCAAUUGCAUCACUCAAAGAUGAUCCCGCGUUGUAUUAGCUAGUUGGUGAGGUAAAGGCUCACCAAGGCGAUGAUACAUAGCCGACCUGAGAGGGUGAUCGGCCACAUUGGGACUGAGACACGGCCCAAACUCCUACGGGAGGCAGCAGUAGGGAAUCUUCGGCAAUAGACGAAAGUCUGACCGAGCAACGCCGCGUGAGUGAAGAAGGUUUUCGGAUCGUAAAACUCUGUUGGUAGAGAAGAACGUUGGUGAGAGUGGAAAGCUCAUCAAGUGACGGUAACUACCCAGAAAGGGACGGCUAACUACGUG
RNAcentral lists this ribosomal RNA (497 nucleotides) under uncultured bacterium. Its description in RNAcentral is "partial 16S ribosomal RNA". It matches the Rfam family "Bacterial small subunit ribosomal RNA", at positions 28 to 507 of the family's 1533-position model. The record is from RNAcentral.